AUGAACACUACUGGCAUAAGAGCCAUUGUCCGAUUAGUGCUCUCCGACAUACCCAUCUUCAUGAUGAUGGCCAUUCAGGCAACACCUGGUAUUCUAAAGGACAUUGAUAAGAGAUCUACAGAAAAUUUCUAUGGACUCGGGAGGAAAGUGCAAAGUAAACUGGCGUUCGAGCCAAAUAGGCCAUGGGUUGGAUCUUCUCCCCCCUGCGAUGAGCGAGGUCGUGACCUCUCUGUCGCUACCACCAUGGUGACGAUCAUCGAUGGGGAAACGACCAAGUUAUGGGGAUCCACCUGGUUGGGAACUACACUGAUGCGCUCUGUUGCACCAUCAUUGUUCUUCUCUCCAGAACCGGUAAACUACAAUAAACAGCCCUCCCCUGCUUCGCCUCCCCGUCACCGUCACCCUCACCCAUCCGUUGCGCAUUUCCAAUCCCCCUCGCAAUCACAUUCCCGAAUUAACGGCCCCUCCUCCCACCCCCCUACGCGCUUCCCGUCGCGCCUCCCCCCUAAAAAUAGGCAGAUCUCGCGCCGGGGGGCGACGCGCCGGCCUCCUCCUCCUCCUCCCCGCUUCAUCCACCGCAGCUCCUCUCCUCGCCGCCGGUUGAUCCGACGACGCCGAUCAAUCCAGCCGGCAUUCAUCUUCACCUUCUCCUCCGCGGUUAACUCGAUCUGCGCCGCGCAAGUCUCGUUCCGCUUUUGUUUGAUUGCGAUCUAUCCUCUCCCCGUCCCCGUGGCGUCGUUUUCGUCUCACCCCUGCCCGCCCACCCGCACCCGCGCGGUUGAUUCUUUGUUGUUUGUUCCCAUCUGA
RNAcentral lists this ribosomal RNA (807 nucleotides) under Triticum aestivum (bread wheat). RNAcentral's name for it is "partial small subunit ribosomal RNA". Lineage: Eukaryota; Viridiplantae; Streptophyta; Magnoliopsida; Poales; Poaceae. The record is from RNAcentral.